RNAcentral lists this transfer RNA (73 nucleotides) under Felis catus (domestic cat). It matches the Rfam family "tRNA". Rfam says of the family: Transfer RNA (tRNA) molecules are approximately 80 nucleotides in length. Their secondary structure includes four short double-helical elements and three loops (D, anti-codon, and T loops). RNAcentral also lists the same sequence under 4 other names. The record is from Rfam by way of RNAcentral. Lineage: Eukaryota; Metazoa; Chordata; Mammalia; Carnivora; Felidae.
ACCCGGCUGGCUCAGUCGGUAGAGCGUGUGAAUCUUGUUCUUGAGGUUGUGAGUUCGAGCCUUACAUUGGGUG